GUGAAUGCUUAAACUUGGCGCCCAUCGGAUUCAUCGUCCUUUGGCCCAUUUUUAUCCAAUCAACUAUUUUUCACACACUUGUGCACCAGUACAUUUUAUUACACGUUUGUGUAUUUGAACAACAGUUUAUGUGUCGUUUUUAAUGUGAUAACACAAUAA
Molecule: unclassified non-coding RNA, 159 nt
Filed under: uncultured fungus
Lineage: Eukaryota; Fungi
Description: sequence contains ITS1
Source: RNAcentral